AGGUUGGUCCCAUAGAAAACCUUGACCCAGCACCAAUCAAGGUUGAUGUUGGAAACAAGUACUCAGUCUUUUACCACAUCAGUGCUGUGCAUCCAAUUGAGUACUUGAGUCAUUUCAUCAUGAACAACAGAUCAGGCAUCAUCACUAUCCAAAGGAAGCUCAGCCAAGAGAGAACGAGCACAGUGAACUUGGACAUACAGGCUUCCCUGGAAAAUGGCAGUGGGGAGAAAGCCAAUGCCACG
This is a long non-coding RNA of Engraulis encrasicolus (European anchovy), 242 nucleotides long. RefSeq lists it as uncharacterized. The record is from RefSeq and is a predicted model, not a curated record. The transcript is spliced from 3 exons. NCBI's taxonomy places the organism in Eukaryota, Metazoa, Chordata, Actinopteri, Clupeiformes, Engraulidae.